UGGGGAAUUUUGGACAAUGGGCGAAAGCCUGAUCCAGCAAUGCCGCGUGUGUGAAGAAGGCCUUCGGGUUGUAAAGCACUUUUGUCCGGAAAGAAAUCCUUGGCUCUAAUACAGUCGGGGGAUGACGGUACCGGAAGAAUAAGCACCGGCUAACUACGUGCCAGCAGCCGCGGUAAUACGUAGGGUGCAAGCGUUAAUCGGAAUUACUGGGCGUAAAGCGUGCGCAGGCGGUUUGCUAAGACCGAUGUGAAAUCCCCGGGCUCAACCUGGGAACUGCAUUGGUGACUGGCAGGCUAGAGUAUGGCAGAGGGGGGUAGAAUUCCACGUGUAGCAGUGAAAUGCGUAGAGAUGUGGAGGAAUACCGAUGGCGAAGGCAGCCCCCUGGGCCAAUACUGACGCUCAUGCACGAAAGCGUGGGGAGCAAAACAGGAUUAGAUACCCUGGUAGUCCACGCCCUAAACGAUGUCAACUAGUUGUUGGGGAUUCAUUUCCUUAGUAACGUAGCUAACGCGUGAAGUUGACCGCCUGGGGAGUACGGUCGCAAGAUUAAAACUCAAAUUG
RNAcentral lists this ribosomal RNA (561 nucleotides) under uncultured bacterium. RNAcentral's name for it is "partial 16S ribosomal RNA". It matches the Rfam family "Bacterial small subunit ribosomal RNA", at positions 355 to 908 of the family's 1533-position model. The record is from RNAcentral.